UACGGAGGGUGCGAGCGUUGUCCGGAAUCACUGGGCGUAAAGGGCGCGUAGGCGGCGCGGGGAGUCAACGGUGAAAGCUCGGCGCUCAACGCCGAGUCGGCCGUCGAUACUCCCGUGCUCGAGCACUGUAGAGGCAGGUGGAAUUCCGGGUGUAGCGGUGGAAUGCGUAGAGAUCCGGAAGAACACCGGUGGCGAAGGCGGCCUGCUGGGACAGUGCUGACGCUGAGGCGCGACAGCGUGGGGAGCAAACAGG
RNAcentral lists this ribosomal RNA (253 nucleotides) under uncultured bacterium. RNAcentral's name for it is "partial 16S ribosomal RNA". It matches the Rfam family "Bacterial small subunit ribosomal RNA", at positions 524 to 776 of the family's 1533-position model. The record is from RNAcentral.